AACUCGGCCAUUUAGAGGAAGUACAAGUCGUAACAAGGUUUCCGUAGGUGAACCUGCGGAAGGAUCAUAGUAAUCGUCUUCGACGUUCUAUCUCCAUCGUCCUCAGGACGUUAAGGCGCUCUGGUCGAGGAUAAACGACCCCUCUGACCGAGGUUAAACGGUCGCUUCCCUGUGUUACCUCUUUGGAGGCACACGUUAAAGAUCGUUCCGCGUUGUGAGUCUAACACCAGUUGUAAACUUUCUACAACCGGCAGCGCUGGAUCCCUUGGCACGUCAUUCGAUGAAGACCGUUGCAAAUUGCGAUAAAGUGAUGUGAUGCGCAAGUCCACCACUUAUACGUGAAUCAUCGAGUUGUUGAACGCAUUGCACCGCGCCCUAAUCCGGCUGCGGUAUGCCCCUUUGAGCGCCAUUGUAUUCCUUCGGGAGUCUUUCCUUGCUGAAAGACCCGAGCUCGGAGUCCUCGGUCCUUUGGAUCGUGUUCUCUCAGAUGCGUCGCGCCGAUCGCCUGAUGGGUACUCUAAUGCCUGAGCGUGGAGUCCCUUUGAGCUUGAGACGCGCUUGACCGGCCGUUGGGCUCGCGUCACCAAGUCCGCGUCCUUCUGGACGUCGGUACUACAACGCAUGACCCCAUUGGGGUAGGACAACCCGCUAGACUUAAGCAUAUUAAUCAGCGGAGGAAAAGAAACUAACCAGGAUUCCCCUAGUAACUGCGAGUGAAGCGGGACCCGCUCAAUGUGUGAAUCUGGCGG
RNAcentral lists this ribosomal RNA (749 nucleotides) under uncultured Tulasnellaceae. RNAcentral's name for it is "eukaryotic LSU rRNA". The stretch from base 622 to 749 matches the Rfam family "Eukaryotic large subunit ribosomal RNA", at positions 1 to 128 of the family's 3401-position model. Lineage: Eukaryota; Fungi; Basidiomycota; Agaricomycetes; Cantharellales; Tulasnellaceae. The record is from RNAcentral.